RNAcentral lists this long non-coding RNA (998 nucleotides) under Hordeum vulgare. RNAcentral's name for it is "long non-coding RNA (HVUL_LNC006569)". The record is from RNAcentral. Lineage: Eukaryota; Viridiplantae; Streptophyta; Magnoliopsida; Poales; Poaceae.
CUCGGAGUUCCCAUCCAUCCAACCAGAUGCGCUAGCCCCGAUCCAAAAAUCGUCCCGGCCUCCUCCCGACCAACCCUGCGGGCUGCAGCCCCCUCGAUCCUCCCGCAGCCAUGUCCUGCUCCAACUCUUGACCGAGCAGGAGAGCAUGAUCCACCAGGUUGUCCCCAUCGCGCCCCAUCUCCCUUGCUCCUCUUCCUGCAACCUCCCUCUGUUCUUGGACGCGUCCGGUGGACCAAAUGUGGGCAGCCCCGAGAAGCCAGCUCCUCCCGUAGUGCCCUGCUUCUCAGCUCGAUGGAGAGAUCCAGCCGAACAAGCAUGAGCUCCGCCCCGUGCAUGCCUCACCUUUGUCCCGGGACCCCAUCCCCGUCGUUCCCGUGUUGCCAGCCUCGCCCGCAACAAGCCAUGGACGCCCGUGCCCUGUAGGUUGUUGUGGAAGCUCGCCUCGUGAGAUCUGACUCAGACGACCCAGCAAGCCGUCUCCGCUCCCCACGCUCCUUUGCUUCCUUCCCUUCUUCUCCCUCUCUCUGACCUCUCUCUCUCUAUCUCUCCCGCAUUGACCUCGUGCCCACCAUGGAUGCGCGAAGGAGCUCCGUCGGCAUGGAACCUGAAGAUCCCGCCUUUGCCCGAUCUAGCCACCUGCUGCCUAGAUUCGACUGGAUCAAGUCGUCGUCGACCCAUUUCCAGCGCCCUCGUGCGACCCCGCCGCCUUCAACCACCUGCAGCACUCGCCAUGGCCGGUGGCCUCCUUUUUCCAUGCUGUGAGCAACCGCUGUUCAACCUGAAUCUUCGAUUCUUGCCUAGAUCCGUUCUGGCGUAAAGAGUUUAAAUAGGAUCACCACAAAGUCUUUGCAGGAGCACACGAUUACCACAUUGGCCAGCGCCCUGAGCUGGUUAGCACUUUUGUUUGAAUUUUUGGAGGACCGGAAAUCAAAUCCCCAGGGCCUCUCUUUUAUUUUCAUCCUUUGUAUUUAUUUUUCUUUUACAUGUAUGUUGCAUCC